This 211-nucleotide ribosomal RNA is filed under the name uncultured bacterium. RNAcentral describes it as "partial 16S ribosomal RNA". It matches the Rfam family "Bacterial small subunit ribosomal RNA", at positions 1282 to 1500 of the family's 1533-position model. The record is from RNAcentral.
CCUGUCUCAGUUCGGAUUGGAGUCUGCAACCCGACUCCAUGAAGCUGGAUUCGCUAGUAAUCGCGCAUCAGCCACGGCGCGGUGAAUACGUUCCCGGGCCUUGUACACACCGCCCGUCAAGCCAUGGGAGCCGGGGGUGCCUGAAGGCCGUGACCGCGAGGAGCGGCCUAGGGUAAAACUGGUGACUGGGGCUAAGUCGUAACAAGGUAGC